AGCAAAGGGCUUGACGCUAGCGCUUAUCCCCGACAGCUAGUGACAAAGCCUUUGUGGG
This 58-nucleotide microRNA precursor is filed under the name Octopus vulgaris (common octopus). Its description in RNAcentral is "Ovu-Mir-12545_pre stem-loop". The record is from RNAcentral. RNAcentral also lists the same sequence under 1 other name. Lineage: Eukaryota; Metazoa; Mollusca; Cephalopoda; Octopoda; Octopodidae.